AACAAAGUUGGGAGAUUAUAUAACUAUUUUAGAAAGCCCAAACGGCUAUUUCUGCAGGCCAACGACCCUUUUUUAAAUGCUGCAACGACCAAAAAAAUGUGGAUCUUUUUUUUAAAAAAAAGUAGUCGUUGGGCCCGUUUGAGCCCAUUUAGGACCGGUUGAACCGACCCACUUAGAACCUGGUCUCGGGCCCAAACGGUCCCGGUCCCAACGGGCUUCUUCAAUGAACCGACCCACUUGGGCCUCAAACCCCCGGUCACAGGCUUAAAUUGGUAGGCCCGUUUAGGCCCACUACCCAUAUGGGCUUGCGGGCCUGGACCAGGCCUAACUGGCCCACUUGCCACCCUUACAUAGAAUCCAGGUUCCAAAUGCCCGCUUCUAAUAAAUCUCUUGUAAUUUUGGAUGAAUCUUUUGACCUAUAUGUUGACAUGACCUCUCU
Molecule: long non-coding RNA, 439 nt
Filed under: Nicotiana benthamiana
Lineage: Eukaryota; Viridiplantae; Streptophyta; Magnoliopsida; Solanales; Solanaceae
Description: long non-coding RNA (NBEN_LNC005702)
Source: RNAcentral